Molecule: ribosomal RNA, 762 nt
Filed under: Limosilactobacillus fermentum
Lineage: Bacteria; Bacillati; Bacillota; Bacilli; Lactobacillales; Lactobacillaceae
Description: bacterial SSU rRNA
Rfam family: Bacterial small subunit ribosomal RNA
Source: RNAcentral
CAUUUGGAAACAGAUGCUAAUACCGCAUAACAGCGUUGUUCGCAUGAACAACGCUUAAAAGAUGGCUUCUCGCUAUCACUUCUGGAUGGACCUGCGGUGCAUUAGCUUGUUGGUGGGGUAACGGCCUACCAAGGCGAUGAUGCAUAGCCGAGUUGAGAGACUGAUCGGCCACAAUGGGACUGAGACACGGCCCAUACUCCUACGGGAGGCAGCAGUAGGGAAUCUUCCACAAUGGGCGCAAGCCUGAUGGAGCAACACCGCGUGAGUGAAGAAGGGUUUCGGCUCGUAAAGCUCUGUUGUUAAAGAAGAACACGUAUGAGAGUAACUGUUCAUACGUUGACGGUAUUUAACCAGAAAGUCACGGCUAACUACGUGCCAGCAGCCGCGGUAAUACGUAGGUGGCAAGCGUUAUCCGGAUUUAUUGGGCGUAAAGAGAGUGCAGGCGGUUUUCUAAGUCUGAUGUGAAAGCCUUCGGCUUAACCGGAGAAGUGCAUCGGAAACUGGAUAACUUGAGUGCAGAAGAGGGUAGUGGAACUCCAUGUGUAGCGGUGGAAUGCGUAGAUAUAUGGAAGAACACCAGUGGCGAAGGCGGCUACCUGGUCUGCAACUGACGCUGAGACUCGAAAGCAUGGGUAGCGAACAGGAUUAGAUACCCUGGUAGUCCAUGCCGUAAACGAUGAGUGCUAGGUGUUGGAGGGUUUCCGCCCUUCAGUGCCGGAGCUAACGCAUUAAGCACUCCGCCUGGGGAGUACGACCGCAAGU